GCCACUGCUGUUGGGGUUCGGCUAAGCCAUGCGAGUGGAGGGCGUCCCGCAAGGGAUGGCCCCGCAGACGGCUCAGUAACACGUCGUCAACCCACCUUAGGGUGGGGGACAACCUCGGGAAACUGAGGAUAAUCCCCCAUAGGCGGGGGAGGCUAGAAUGCGCCCCCGCUGAAAGCUCAGGCGCCCUAGGACGGGACGGCGGCCUAUCAGGUAGUUGGUGGUGUGACG
Molecule: ribosomal RNA, 228 nt
Filed under: uncultured archaeon
Lineage: Archaea
Description: partial 16S ribosomal RNA
Rfam family: Archaeal small subunit ribosomal RNA
Source: RNAcentral